GUUAGUAUCAAGCAGCUGCUUCGAAUCCAAAGGGGUGGCUAGACGUAAAGUGAAAUUUUAGUUGGCGUAUGAAAUCAUACAAUGGGGAAGUUAGAUC
Molecule: non-coding RNA, 97 nt
Organism: Ceratotherium simum simum (southern white rhinoceros)
Lineage: Eukaryota; Metazoa; Chordata; Mammalia; Perissodactyla; Rhinocerotidae
Source: RefSeq, a predicted model, not a curated record